This 459-nucleotide ribosomal RNA is filed under the name uncultured bacterium. RNAcentral's name for it is "partial 16S ribosomal RNA". It matches the Rfam family "Bacterial small subunit ribosomal RNA", at positions 338 to 795 of the family's 1533-position model. The record is from RNAcentral.
CCUACGGGAGGCAGCAGUGAGGAAUAUUGGUCAAUGGGCGCGAGCCUGAACCAGCCAAGUCGCGUGAGGGAAGACGGUCCUAUGGAUUGUAAACCUCUUUUGUCGGGGAGCAAAAGACGCCACGCGUGGCGUUCCGAGAGUACCCGAAGAAAAAGCAUCGGCUAACUCCGUGCCAGCAGCCGCGGUAAUACGGAGGAUGCGAGCGUUAUCCGGAUUUGUGGGGUUUAAGGGGUGCUCAGGCGGAAGAUCAAGUCAGCGGUAAAAUUGAGGGGCUCAACGUCUUCGAGCCGUUGAAACUGGUUUUCUUGAGUGAGUGAGAGGUAGGCGGAAUGCGUGGUGUAGCGGUGAAAUGCAUAGAUAUCACGCAGAACUCCGAUUGCGAAGGCAGCAUACCGGCGCUCAACUGACGCUCAUGCACGAAAGUGUGGGUAUCGAACAGGAUUAGAUACCCCAGUAGUC